UACGGAGGGUCCGAGCGUUAUCCGGAAUCAUUGGGUUUAAAGGGUCCGUAGGUGGACUAAUAAGUCAGAGGUGAAAUCCCAUAGCUCAACUAUGGAACUGCCUUUGAUACUGUUAGUCUUGAGUUACUUGGAAGUAGAUAGAAUGUGUAGUGUAGCGGUGAAAUGCAUAGAUAUUACACAGAAUACCGAUUGCGAAGGCAGUCUACUACGAGUAUACUGACACUGAUGGACGAAAGCGUGGGGAGCGAACGGG
This 253-nucleotide ribosomal RNA is filed under the name uncultured bacterium. RNAcentral's name for it is "partial 16S ribosomal RNA". It matches the Rfam family "Bacterial small subunit ribosomal RNA", at positions 524 to 776 of the family's 1533-position model. The record is from RNAcentral.